AGUUUGCACUCAUCGGGGAAGGGUGAGAACCUUCGACUAAGGUUCGACUCGAGCGAAAGCGAGAGAACGUUUUCACAGGCAACGGCCCGAAGGGUGAGGAGCGAAGCGACGAAUAAUCCUUUCCCCACCGCCA
This is a non-coding RNA of Escherichia coli O157:H7 str. Sakai, 133 nucleotides long. The record is from Rfam. Lineage: Bacteria; Pseudomonadati; Pseudomonadota; Gammaproteobacteria; Enterobacterales; Enterobacteriaceae.